Molecule: ribosomal RNA, 468 nt
Filed under: uncultured bacterium
Lineage: Bacteria
Description: partial 16S ribosomal RNA
Rfam family: Bacterial small subunit ribosomal RNA
Source: RNAcentral
GACGAACGCUGGCGGCGUGCCUAACACAUGCAAGUCGAACGGAAAGGCCCUGCUUUUGUGGGUUGCUCGAGUGGCGAACGGGUGUGUAACACGUGAGUAACCCGCCCUUGACUUUGGGAUAACUUCAGGAAACUGGGGCUAAUACCGGAUAGGUGCUCUUGCUGCAUGGUGGGGGUUGGAAAGUUUCGGCGGUUGGGGAUGGACUCGCGGCUUUUCAGCUUGUUGGUGGGGUAGUGGCUUACCAAGGCUUUGACGGGUAGCCGGCCUGAGAGGGGGACCGGCGACAUUGGGACUGAGAGACGGCCCAGAAUCCUACGGGAGGCAGAGGUGGGGAAUAUUGCGCAAUGGGCGGGAGCCUGAUGCAGAGACGCCGCGUGCGGAAUAACGGCCUUCGGGUUGUAAACAGCUUUCGCCUGUGACGAAGAGUGAGUGACGGUAAUGGGUAAAGAAGCACCGGCUAACUACGUG